This is a long non-coding RNA of Hibiscus syriacus, 992 nucleotides long. RefSeq lists it as uncharacterized. The transcript has 3 exons. The record is from RefSeq and is a predicted model, not a curated record. Lineage: Eukaryota; Viridiplantae; Streptophyta; Magnoliopsida; Malvales; Malvaceae.
UUUCCGUUUAGACAGAUCGGACGGAGUAUUGACGGCGCGUGGAACGGAUGGGAAGGUGAGCUCGACGUCGUCGAUCGAUAAGAAGAAAGAGAAGGCAAGACUGAGCCGGACUUCGAUGAUCUUAUGGCAUGCUCAUCAAAACGACCCCGGCGCUGUUCGUAAGCUUCUAGAGGAAGAUGGGUCUUUGGAUAUGGUGCCUCCACGAAUGGAUCGACGUCGCCACCUGCCUCCUUGAAUAUGGCGCCGCCGAUGUCAACGCUCAAGAUCGCUGGAAGAAUACGGUGCCACUUUAAAGGAUUUCCGGCAUGAAGCGAAGGUGGUUGUAAAGCUCCGCCAUCAUAAUGUGGUUCAAUUCCUUGGAGCUGUCACUGACAAGAAGCCCCAUAUGUUGGUUACUGAUUAUUUAAGAGGGGGAAAAAGGAGCUCUUAGUUCAUCAACAGCCGUCAACUUUGCAAGGUAUACAAGAAUGUUUCUAUUUUAAGUUGUACAGCAGGUGGAAAGUGCAGCUACAUGUGUCGUCCUGCUUUUGCAUCCAAGUAAAACUUGGAGGAAAACAGUGAGAGAAUUUAGAACCUACAUUUGCUUCGACUCUUUACCCUUACUGAAUAUCCAUAUCACACACGUAUCUAAUAUAUUGAUACGAGGAUAUGAACCUCUAAGGAUCUUCUAAAUAUAUAGAAAAACUUAGACAACUUUAACUAUACUCAUGUCAGAUACACACCCAUAGCAUCCGUACCACAUUUGUCAGUUUCGACAGGUAGUUGCUCUGGAGAAUAUGCAUUUGCUGUGUGAUUGCUUUUUGCACUUUCUAACAUGUAUGGCUAGAAUCUUGCUCCGGAGAAUAUGCAUUUGCUGUGUGAUUGCUUUUAGUAUUUUCUAAUAUGUAUGGCUAUUUUGCUAAUCUUUACUUUAUAAAUUGUAGCCAGGGGAGUGGCUUAUCUUCACAAUGAGCCAAAUGUCAUAAUUCAUCGAGAUCUAAAACCAAGGUAAG